Pieris napi is the source of this 713-nucleotide RNA transcript. It is a transcript of the gene named IgA FC receptor-like, with no coding region annotated. NCBI's taxonomy places the organism in Eukaryota, Metazoa, Arthropoda, Insecta, Lepidoptera, Pieridae. The transcript is spliced from 5 exons. The record is from RefSeq and is a predicted model, not a curated record.
AGUCAGUUUCUGUAUCUUCGAAGAAAACCAAUUAACAUGAGGGCUGCUACCAUCAUCAUUUUGGCUGUUUGCCUCUUUAGUGUUGCUUUCGCAAUUAAUGACGGUCAUCUCCAUUUACCGUUUCCUUCAACUGCUGCUGAAGGCGAACAAUCAGAAGACUCCAAUGUUUCCAGGACGGCUCCCAGAAGACCCUGGAAACCCAAGAGUCCUUCAACUGCUGCUGAAGGCGAACAAUCAGAAGACUCCAAUGUUUCCAGGACGGCUCCCAGAAGUCCCUGGAAACCCAAGGUCCCCAAAGUUCCUAAAGUACCCAAGGUCCCUCAAGAACACACGGCACCUAAACAUACAAAAAACACCCUUAACAUUUUAUUUUUCUUUUAGAGUCCUUCAACUGCUGCUGAAGGCGAACAAUCAGAAGACUCCAAUGUUUCGAGGACGGCUCCCAGAAGUCCCUGGAAACCCAAGAGUCCUUCAACUGCUGCUGAAGGCGAACAAUCAGAAGACUCCAAUGUUUCCAGGAGGGGUCCCAGAAGACCCAGGAAACCCAAGGUCCCCAAAGUUCCUAAAGUACCCAAGGUCCCCAAAGUUCCUAAAGUACCCAAGGUCCCUCAAGAACACACGGCACCUAAAAGUGUUUGGGGCUAAGAGUAAUACGUUAGUCAAAAAUUAAACUAUAAAAUGUAAAUCGUAAAAUAAAUAAUAUGUAUUUUGAA